Molecule: long non-coding RNA, 7281 nt
Filed under: Triticum aestivum (bread wheat)
Lineage: Eukaryota; Viridiplantae; Streptophyta; Magnoliopsida; Poales; Poaceae
Description: long non-coding RNA (TAES_LNC027334)
Source: RNAcentral
GGCUACUUCUGCGAAUGAAUCUAGCUAGUUAUAGCUAUUGGUACUAAACUUGUGUGCGUGUGUUAUCUUUGGUAGCUAAUUUUUGCCGUGUGCAACUACUGAACCUGGUGUCCUGCUGCUAUUGAACUGUUUUGAUGCAAAUGUCGCUGAUGAACAUACUUUGUGUAGAAAAAGCUACAAAAAAUCACUUUUUCUGGUUGUAAAAAUUUCUAAACUUGCUCUGGUCUAGCAGUUCAACAAAUAUUGAUGUUUGGUUAAUAUUUUUUAUGAUCCAUUUGGCAGAAAAGAUUCAUUUGAUUUCUGAAGCUUAUAUACAACACUUCUGUCAUAAAAUUGUUUGGACUGAUAGCUCAACUUCCCUUAACAUUGGUAAGAGAAAAGAUCAUUCGACUUCAAAUUUUUCUGGACUGAUAGCUCAACUUCUUUCGUACAAAAGGUUCAGAAAGUUCUGUACCUGAAAAUGCAGAUAUUUGGAGUACGCGAAUAUAUAUAUAUGUAUUUCUGAAUUUUGCUCUUGUGUAACAGCUCAACAUGUAUUAUGUCAUCAAUUCAUAAUGAAAAGGCGGGAACAGUUCAAUACGUGUGUAUCUGGCUGCAGCCAUCGAGUUCGUUUGCAUCUUUGAUUUCAGAGGUUCAACUAAAUUUUUCCUCAAAGUUGGACCAUUUCUGUAUUGAUCUUUGAUCUUUGUUUAAUAACAUUACAAUCGCACAAAAUAGGCAUUUUUUCUAUUUCUUGAUGAAAAUGUUCCAGUAUCAUGUAUUGUUUGUAAACGUUCAUUUACCUAGGACAAAAACAGAUGCAAAGGUGCUUUUUCCCUAUUAAUGUGUGAGCCAAAACUGAAUUAUGUGGGGUUAAAUUUAAGCUGAAUGAGAAGUAGUUUCAGGUUAGGUUGCUUCACAGGGUGCAUAGCAUCGUGUGAAACUAUGGAAGUAGAACAAGUAAUUAUUAAUCUUGGUUGGGCAUGUAAAUGAUUUCCCCCUGUGUAAUUAUGUGUACCUUUUCCUUGUUAGUGUUUGUGUUGGUGACUGUAAGUGGAAAGAGCUAUGGAACUGACCCCCACGGGCAACUUUCCGUAAAAGCAUUGCACUUGUUUUUCCCUUUCCAGGUUUACAUUACCUUUUUUCCUUAUAACUUACAGUAACUCAUCUAUCCUUCCUUGUAGAUGGAGAUGCGUGUAUGUAUACAUGAAUUCUGAAAACAAGCUUCAGUACAAGAAAAAUGGGUCGUUCAGUUCAGUUCUGAAUUAUAGGUGUGUAAACACAUCCUGCUUACACAGUAAAUUGUAGUUUACUAAGGAAAAGAGUUAUGCGUAUUCACCAAUCCAAGUAGUUGUCUAAAUGGAAGUUUGGUAGCUGUCGAAAUAAUUGUCUAAACGACAGUCUGAACAUUCUUGCUGCUAAAUAUCUCUCCUCUCUCAAAUUUGUUCAAAUUUGUUGCUUGUUCUUGUUGUUGCCCUGAGUGCCCUCAAGUUGUUUGUUGUUAUUCCCAUGAGAAACCUUUUCUGGAUGGAAAGUAGCAUAUAUUCUAUUCUAUUCUUGCAAAAGCUUCAUUCCUGUGCUGUUUUGAAGUUACUUGGCAUAAAAAUUACUAUAUAUGCUAUUGUAAAAGACUAGAUUUCUUCUAAAUGUGAAGUUUAAGCUCUUGGGAUUUGCUCUUCUAAUUUUUUUAUCAAUGCAUGUUCAUGAGCAGUUCAAAACCUAAUAUUUUUAUUGACAAUUUGAACUUGCAACCUUACUCUCUUGUACUAUUCUAAAAAAAUUAUACUCGUGCAGGUACUUGAAGGGUGCAGACUUGGCAGCGGAGUGGUUUGUUCAACAACAGUACAAUGAUAGAAAGAACAUCAAUUCAAAAAAAUAUACAGGAGGUUUGGGAGCCAAACAACUGGUAUUUUGUUGUGUUUUAAUUUUUUGGGUGCAUGAUUGAGCAAAGAGAGAAAAAUAAUGUAUGAUAUAUAUACUGUUGUUGUAGGAGGUUCAAAGAUUGUCAUGGAGCAAGUUCAAGAGUUUGGUUUCAUGUGAAAAAUGUGGUUUUUUGGUCAAGAGUUUGCAUGAUUGAUAGCCAUCACUGGCAGCCGGCGAGUAAUUCAAGCCCGCAUGCGCGAGCCGCCCAUCGUCUUCCACACGUGAUCCUGUUGCUUGAUGAUGCUUGACAUGAACUGAACUAGCUGGAUGGAAUUAUUUUUCUGCAAUGUAAUGUAAAUGAAUAUGGUAAACAAACUGGGAAACCAGAUUGUUUUAGAGCUGGAGUUUGUGCUCCAGUUGAGUUCCAGCAGAUUGUGGCUGCUGGUUGUUUCAAGUGAAGGUGGUCGGGCAUUACUUGUGUAGGACUGAGUGAAUCUUGUAUGUAAAGGAAACUUGAUCAAAUAGUCGUCAGUAUUAAGAUUUAAAACUAGAUUUUGAUCCAUUCUCUUGUGAUUUUAGGCUGAACUCCAAUACUUGCAUCCGCCACCACAAUGCCGACGUGUUCCCUCAGUCCUCUCUCGACCAACCCAACAGUACAGGUUCUCCGGUGCACCAAGUAUUGCCUGCAGUGAUGCCUGCAUCAUGGCCCAUUGAGGAGAUCUUGUAUAUUCCACAUAGAAGAUAUAUUGUUUGUUCAUGAAUAUUCUCGCCAGGUAGGAAGUUUUGGAGAGGAAAACAUAAGUUUUUAAAAGAAGGAAGGUAAAAAUGUAAGUCCGUUCAACUAUAUAAACCAUAAAAGUACGAUGGUGAUGACAUUGACAAUAAGGAUAAGGAUGAGAAAGAAAAUUAAAAACUAAAACUAAAAGAACAUCGAGUGAUUAUUUUUUGAGAAGUACAAACCUCUAGUACCAUAAGUACCAUAAAUUAAAAAUUAAGAAUUGCCUAAGUUCUGACUCAAGGGGACAAAUUUGCAAAAAAAAUCAUAGCAGUAAAGGUUCGAAGGAAAAAAGCAACUUAACAAAUGGAAAAAACGACAAUGGAUUUAUAUUAUGUUAAUCAUCGGUGUGCUCUUGUUUGUCAGUUCAUGUGUGCUCUUGUUAUCAGGUCGUGUGCCAACUUGUUAUCAAUUUUGUGUGUGUGUGAGUUGGUAAACCAAGUGUAGCUGCUGCAGAAAAAAGGCAUGGGAUGUGCUGCCCUCAGUUCUCUCUCGACAAAUCCAGCAAUGCGGGUUCUCUGGUGCGCCAAGUAUUGCCGGCGGCGAUGCUUGCAUCAUGGACCAUUGAGUAGAUGCAAUUUUCCUGGUUUUCACAGACAACAUGGAUCUUAGUUCAGCUACAGAAACCACGCAGGUUCAGUGAUAAUGGUACCAUAAGUUCGGACAAGAAAACAAAUAAGAACUAAAACAGAAAAUUUUAAAUUCUACAAGUUCAAGUGCUCAUCCACACAUGAUAAUUCAAGUUGGUAAAAGUUUAAAAUGGUAAAAAGUUCAAGUUGGAAAACAAGAGAAAUCUAGAACAUUCAUUACAAAAAAAUUUACUUAUGAGAAAACAUGCAAAAAAAAUUUGGCAAAGAAAUAACAUUCAGUUCAACAAUAAAAACCAUGCAAGUUCGGGGCUAGGAUACAGUACACAGUUGAAAACUUAUGAGAAAAAAUUUACCCAAAAAAUAGAGCAAAAUCUAGUUAGUGAAAACACGCUUAGUACAAACCCGUGUAAACUUCAGUACAAAUUUACUUUUUUGGAACCAUUCAAAACUACUGUACAAAAAAUAGCUCAGUACAAACAUACACGUAUAUCAAUACGACUACUCUGUUUUUCAGAUGAGAAAACAGCAGGAUCCAUCAUGCUGUAUUCAAAAUUACUCUUAAACGGUUGUGAAGUAAAGAAAACGUCCAACAUGACUAAGUUUCGCAUUUUUGAUAGCUAUCCAACAGUAUAUUAUUUGCCCCACUUCGAAAAACUUUUUAAAAAAUCGUGUUCGAAACCAAUUUUAACCGUAUUUGAAUUUGUAUAUAAACUGUAAGGAAUUAGAAAAAACUUUCUAUACGCAAAAGUUGCGCAUUUUCCAUAGCUUUCCAACACCGUAUCAUUUGCGUCAAUCCGACAAACUGUUUGCAAAAACAAUUGAAAAAAUGUUUCGCCCAGAAUUUCACCGUUUUUCAAAUUACUUUUAAAUCAUAUACAAUUUGAAGAAAUAGUAGAUAUAUGGAAGAUGUAGAUAUAUAGCUAUCCAACGCCAUCUCAUUUGCUCAAUUCCGACAAACCGUUUGAAAAUUAAGUCCAAAAUACGAUUCGCGUUUUCGGUUUUGAAAAAACGGUUUUUUCAAAACUGCUCUUAAAUCAUAUUUUUUUUGCAAAAACAAAUUAUAAGAUCGUAAUAUGGAUGUCAGGAGCUUUCCAAGGAUAUAUUACACGCCCCAUUUCGACAAAAAAAUUGCAAAAAAAUUUGAACUAAAGAAGGCGAUUUUUAACAGCAACACAAAGCAUUAGUUCAACCGCUCGAAUUUCAUCAGUUCAACCGCUUGAAUUCAUCAGUUCAAGUAGGGUAACAGAACAAUAUUCUGUUACGCGUAACAGUAUAGCCCAGAUGUAUAUAUAUAGGGGGAUGGGUAUCUUUUGCACUAAGUGAAUGUGAUCGGACCCCAAUCCCAUCUGUGCUUAUCUCUCCUAUUCUCUCUAAAUCUUCAUAUGCAUUCUAUUGAGACAUGUCGAUUAUCUUUACUUUGUCUUUGCCAGUCGAAGAUUAAGAGACAAACAUUUAAAAAGGCUUUUAUUACACUUAUCCUUUUGCUUGAAUCCAGAGAAGUCGGAACGACCACCCGACAAACCAAGCACGUGUGGGGUCGUGGCACAACAUUUAAGUUGUUACAUGCGUGCCACGUGGUGCUCAGUGAACCGCCAGGGGUAGCUAAGUAAUUACACAGCGUCAUCCCCUUCCUUAUAAAUACCCAUCUCCCUACGGUCAUUAAAACUUACUCCCCUCGCUGUCUCGCUCAAACCCUAGCGUAGUCGCUAGCUUCCGUCGUCGCCGAAGAUGAAGUGCUUCGCUGCCGUGGCUUCUCUGUCAUCAUCGUCACACCGGUCGCGGUCUUCUUCCGUCCGCCGCCACCAUAGGUGUCUUCCUCCGCCUAGUUAGGGUGCGGGAUAUUGGACUAUUCGGCCUCCUUCCACGACUCAUCAAGCAGUUCGUGUCUAUUCUUGAGCGGUAAUUAAAAGUCUAUUUUACUACACGUUUGAUCCGUUAAAACUUUCUAUAUUUUCAUCAAGUUGUUUCUUCACUUCCAAAUCUGGAUCUUCCAUACUAUAACAUCUCAUAACCAGCAAGUACUUUCACUUAUGCUUCACAACUAGUUAGAUUCCUCCCUUGUACUUAUUCAUGGAUUCGCACAAAUCUAGAACCAACUCAUAUAAAUAAGUGAAUGUCUUCGCGCUAUGGGGUCAAUGUCUUCAAACUGAUUUAUCUUCAAAAUCCUCUGAGAAUGCAUAUGUCCCCUUCACCUUCCCUCUCAUCUCUAAUGCUGUCACAGGUACAUGUCCGUGGGAGAGUCCCUUAGUUCUCAUAGUCUGCAUUCAUCUACAGAAUUCUUAUGGCAUCAUAUUGAAUCACCUAAAGCCAGUUCUUGUCUGACAAGUAGAGCGAAGCCUAACACCAUUGUGAUGCCUUUUAGUCUGAAGCCCAUGGCCAGUGGCAAAUCUGCAAAGAAAGGCGGCAGACAACAUUGUGACAAUGCUGCAAAAGACCUGCCACCAGAUCUCUAUGAGUUGUACAAGUCUGACCAUGAAGAGAGCUAUAGUGAAUGUAAAUCUCGAGUCCAAUGGAUUCGCAGAUACUGGGAAGAGCAGUGGUUUCUCUAUCACUUUGUGACUGUUGAAUAUGCUGAUAAGAACGCUGCGAGGCUACCUUGGGCUGAUAUUGUAUACAGGAAACUUCACCCCAGGACCAAAGCUGAAGUAAUUGAGAGAGGCUUCUUUCCAUGCAUGGUCCAAGGACCAAGGCCAGAGAAUGCCGACCCAUCACUACUGCAGGAUGCUGCUAAUGCGACACUACGAUCAGAGACCCUUUGACGAAACUGUGUGCGAUGCGGUAAUCGCAAAUGAUGGUGUAAAACCCCCGUCAAAAAAGGUGUAAAAUGUUUGCAAUGGCGGACAAAUCAAACACGGUUUAGAUUUUACUUGCGUGUGCGAUGCUGGGCAUAUGAUUGAUCCAACAAAACUGUUUGCAUGAGGAAGAACAACAGAAACGGGCAGCCAUAUCAAUGUAUGUGCGAUAUAUGGCAUACAGUUUGCUCCGAUGAACUGUGUGCUAUUAGGGAAUGCAACAGAAACUGUCAGCCAGAUCAUGGUGUGUGUGAUAUAAAGCAUACGGUUCACUCGGACAAAUGUUUUCGGUUAGGCAAGAGAACGGAAAUGGUUCAUCUUAACAAGAUGUGUGUGAUAUGCGGCAUUUGCGAUCAGCGAAAAGAACACAAAUGAUUCGUGUAAACCAGAUGUGUGUGAUACAUAGCAAACAGCCCACUCGGAUGAACUGUUUGCGAUAAGAAAUUAUAACACAGACGAUUACUAUAGUAAGUUCGUGUGCGAUUGUGUUCGUACAAAAAACUUUGAAAAAUGCAAACUAGUUGCUUGCGUAUAAACAAUUAUCAAAAAGUAACGAGAUAGACCUUCUUUAAGCCAAUCAACAUGUGUUCAGAAAACAAGAAAUGUCAAAAAUUACAAAACAAAUACCUCGAUAGACCUUGCUGAUGUAGAUCCCUCUUUGCAGCUUUUAUUGUGCAACACAAUGGAAAUGGUUCAACUGAACAAUAUGUGUGUGAUACGUGGCAAACAGGUCCGUGAUCAGAAAUGUGUGCGAAGACCAAUAAUAACACAGACGAUUGCUGCUAAUAAGCCGUGUGGCUUGCUCUGUCUACAGAAGAAUAACAUGUGUGUGUGUGUAGGGUACUGCCGGAGAUAAGUAGUAGGCGACAAAGUGUUUUGAAGUAGCACCAAGACGGGGCAUAAAGCUGGCGAGCAGGUAUGAGCAGUGAGCUGCUACUGCACUUGUGCGGCUACUUCUGCGAAUGAAUCUAGCUAGUUAUAGCUAUUGGUACUAAACUUGUGUGCGUGUGUUAUCUUUGGUAGCUAAUUUUUGCCGUGUGCAACUACUGAACCUGGUGUCCUGCUGCUAUUGAACUGUUUUGAUGCAAAUGUCGCUGAUGAACAUACUUUGUGUAGAAAAAGCUACAAAAAAUCACUUUUUCUGGUUGUAAAAAUUUCUAAACUUGCUCUGGUCUAGCAGUUCAACAAAUAUUGAUGUUUGGUUAAUAUUUUUUAUGAUCCAUUUGGCAGAAAAGAUUCAUUUGAUUUCUGAAGCUUAUAUACAACACUUCUGUCAUAAAAU